GUAACAAGGUAGCCGUAGGGGAACCUGCGGCUGGAUCACCUCCUUAAUCGACGACAUCAGCUGCUUCAUAAGCUCCCACACGAAUUGCUUGAUUCAUUGAAGAAGACGAUUGGGUCUGUAGCUCAGUUGGUUAGAGCGCACCCCUGAUAAGGGUGAGGUCGGCAGUUCGAAUCUGCCCAGACCCACCAAUUACUGGUGCACCCUGUAGCGAUACGGGGCCAUAGCUCAGCUGGGAGAGCGCCUGCCUUGCACGCAGGAGGUCAGCGGUUCGAUCCCGCUUGGCUCCACCAUUACAGAUUGGUGUCCAUCGUUUAAAGCUUAGAAAUGAGCAUUCCGCUGAUAGGCGAUGAAUGUUGAUUUCUGAUCUUUAUCAGAAUCGUUCUUUAAAAAUUUGGGUAUGUGAUAGAAAGAUAGACUGGAUAGCACUUUCACUGGUGUUUAUUCAGGCUAAGGUAAAAUUUGUGAGUUUAAUCGCGAAUUUUCGGC
RNAcentral lists this small RNA (486 nucleotides) under Pseudomonas sp. W42. RNAcentral describes it as "bacterial LSU rRNA". The stretch from base 112 to 185 matches the Rfam family "tRNA". Lineage: Bacteria; Pseudomonadati; Pseudomonadota; Gammaproteobacteria; Pseudomonadales; Pseudomonadaceae. The record is from RNAcentral.